AUCGACUGAGGAGUCCCAAAUAAGACGAAACACACGUCCUACAU
Molecule: non-coding RNA, 44 nt
Filed under: Schistosoma margrebowiei
Lineage: Eukaryota; Metazoa; Platyhelminthes; Trematoda; Strigeidida; Schistosomatidae
Source: RNAcentral